RNAcentral lists this long non-coding RNA (1115 nucleotides) under Phasianus colchicus (ring-necked pheasant). RNAcentral describes it as "lncRNA (ENSPCLG00000014098.1)". The record is from RNAcentral. Lineage: Eukaryota; Metazoa; Chordata; Aves; Galliformes; Phasianidae.
AUGCGGUUCCUCAGGGUGCACCCAGACACAUCGCCAGCUCUGCGUCCCCCCACAGCCCCCCGUCAGCACACCGCCACCAGCACCGACCCCACGGCACUGCGGUGCAGCGCCAUCGCACCCAUGCACUGCACACCAAACCCCUGCAGCCCGGCGUCCUUUGUGCCCUGCAUUCCUGCAGCCCUGCAUCUCUGGAGCCCUGCAUCCCUGCCUGCACUGCAUCCCUGCAAUCCUGGCUGCAUUGCAAUCCUGGCAGCACUUCAUCCUCGGUGCUCCUGCAUCCCUGGCAGCAUUGUGUCCCUGGCAGCUCUGCAUCCCUGCAUCUCUGGCUGCCCUUCAUCCCUGCAUCCCUGCGUCCCUGUUGCCACCGCGUCCCUGGCAGCCCCGCAUCACCACCCCCGCCCCCCCCACAAGGCUGCAGUUGUGCCCACACUGCAGCCUGCAGCACCGCACGCACAGCCGCUGCGUCGCCGCCCUUUAAUGGCUCAGGCCAGGAAGAGCGGCCUGCCGUCCUCCCGCGCCAAUUCCCGCAGGCACUCGAGCAGCACCAGCGCGUCGGCCCUCAGCGUGGGGGGCACCACGGCCAGCAUCGCGUGGCGCAGCAGAGCGGGGCCGGGCGGGGGGCCGGGGGGCUCGGGCAGCUCGCGGAGGAUGCCGUAGGUGUUGACCAAGGACUCCGCCAAGGCGGGGUGCACGGCGGGGUUGUACCCCAGCAGCUUCAGGCGCUCCAUCAGGGUGACGUAGCGGUGGCUCAGCGCGGCGCAGCGCUGCUCAUCGAAGGAGCUGGACGUGGGGUUGAGCACCGACUGCAGGGAUGGGGGCGCGGGGUGGGGGCAGGACGGACAGAGGGACGUCGGUGGAGGGGCCAGACCGGCCCUGUUCCACGAAUCACACGCCAUCUCCAUCCCCAUCCCAUUACAAUCCCAGUCCCAGUCCCGAUCCCAAUCCCCAUCCCCAUUCCCAUCCCAUUCCAAUCCUGUUUCAUGAAUCCCCUCCCCAUCCCAUCCCCAUCCCAUCCCCAUCUCAUCCCCAUCCCCAUCCCCCUCCCAUCCUCAUCCCCAUCCUCAUCCCAUCCCCAUCCAUCCCCAUCCCCAUCCCAUCCCAUCCCAUCCCCAUCC